AUGGGCCUCUGGCGGGUGGUAUUCCAGUGAAGUUCCGGCACCCCGCCCCUACCCUCCUGAGGCCUCAGAGGAGUCCGUGGGUGGAAAGCAGUGUUCAUUGAAGAUGGCAAGAACACAGUCAGAGAAGCCCAUGAGGAUGACAGAAGCCCAACUCUCACUGAUCUGUGCUUCAUUGUUGUUGGCUUAACAGACACAUACAUGGCUGGCUUUGUGGGGAGCAGUGGGGUGCCAGUGGUGCUUGGAGGUUGUACUGACUGGUUCUGUGUGUCAACUUGACCCAAGCUGGAGUUAUCAC
Grammomys surdaster is the source of this 295-nucleotide long non-coding RNA. RefSeq lists it as uncharacterized. NCBI's taxonomy places the organism in Eukaryota, Metazoa, Chordata, Mammalia, Rodentia, Muridae. The record is from RefSeq and is a predicted model, not a curated record. The transcript is spliced from 3 exons.